AAAAAAAGACACCCUGGUUUUCGUGCCUAACGUUUAACCGCCGUCUUAUUUAAAAAAAUUAUGAAAAAAAUUAAAAAGACAAGUCACGCAUAAAAUAUUUAUCAUGUUUUAUCAUCUAACAUUAAUAAAAAUAUGAAUUAUAAAAAAAUUUAUAUAAGACGGAUAGUUAAAGUUGAACACGGAAAAUCAGGGUUUGUCUUUUU
This is a microRNA precursor of Oryza sativa Indica Group (long-grained rice), 203 nucleotides long. It matches the Rfam family "MIR812 microRNA precursor family". The record is from Rfam. Lineage: Eukaryota; Viridiplantae; Streptophyta; Magnoliopsida; Poales; Poaceae.